Molecule: transfer RNA, 87 nt
Filed under: Clostridium pascui
Lineage: Bacteria; Bacillati; Bacillota; Clostridia; Eubacteriales; Clostridiaceae
Also listed under: 2 other names
Description: tRNA-Leu
Rfam family: tRNA
About the family: Transfer RNA (tRNA) molecules are approximately 80 nucleotides in length.
Source: RNAcentral
GCCGAAGUGGUGGAACUGGCAGACGCGCCGGACUCAAAAUCCGGAGGUAGCAAUACCGUGCGGGUUCGAUUCCCGCCUUCGGCACCA